This 479-nucleotide ribosomal RNA is filed under the name uncultured bacterium. Its description in RNAcentral is "partial 16S ribosomal RNA". It matches the Rfam family "Bacterial small subunit ribosomal RNA", at positions 28 to 507 of the family's 1533-position model. The record is from RNAcentral.
GAUGAACGCUGGCGGCGUGCUUAACACAUGCAAGUCGAACGAAGCACCUUGAUUCGAUUCUUCGGAUGAAGAUCUUGGUGACUGAGUGGCGGACGGGUGAGUAACGCGUGGGUAACCUGCCUCAUACAGGGGGAUAACAGUUAGAAAUGACUGCUAAUACCGCAUAAGACCACAGCACCGCAUGGUGCAGGGGUAAAAACUCCGGUGGUAUGAGAUGGACCCGCGUCUGAUUAGGUAGUUGGUGGGGUAACGGCCUACCAAGCCGACGAUCAGUAGCCGACCUGAGAGGGUGACCGGCCACAUUGGGACUGAGACACGGCCCAAACUCCUACGGGAGGCAGCAGUGGGGAAUAUUGCACAAUGGGGGAAACCCUGAUGCAGCGACGCCGCGUGAGCGAUGAAGUAUUUCGGGAUGUAAAGCUCUAUCAGCAGGGAAGAAAAUGACGGUACCUGACUAAGAAGCACCGGCUAAAUACGUG